GGUUGAUGAGCUUGUUAUAAGCGUAUACUUUGAAAGUAUAAUAAAGAAAUAAAAUUUUCUAUUAACUU
Molecule: transfer RNA, 68 nt
Filed under: Curculionoidea sp. 2 KM-2015
Lineage: Eukaryota; Metazoa; Arthropoda; Insecta; Coleoptera
Also listed under: 1 other name
Description: tRNA-Ser
Source: RNAcentral